RNAcentral lists this ribosomal RNA (490 nucleotides) under uncultured bacterium. RNAcentral describes it as "bacterial SSU rRNA". It matches the Rfam family "Bacterial small subunit ribosomal RNA", at positions 9 to 526 of the family's 1533-position model. The record is from RNAcentral.
GAGUUUGAUCCUGGCUCAGGAUGAACGCUGGCGGCGUGCCUAACACAUGCAAGUCGAGCGAUUCUCUUCGGAGAAGAGCGGCGGACGGGUGAGUAACGCGUGGGUAACCUGCCCUGUACACACGGAUAACAUACCGAAAGGUAUGCUAAUACGAGAUAAUAUACUUUUAUCGCAUGGUAGAAGUAUCAAAGCUUUUGCGGUACAGGAUGGACCCGCGUCUGAUUAGCUAGUUGGUAAGGUAACGGCUUACCAAGGCGACGAUCAGUAGCCGACCUGAGAGGGUGAUCGGCCACAUUGGAACUGAGACACGGUCCAAACUCCUACGGGAGGCAGCAGUGGGGAAUAUUGCACAAUGGGCGAAAGCCUGAUGCAGCAACGCCGCGUGAGCGAUGAAGGCCUUCGGGUCGUAAAGCUCUGUCCUCAAGGAAGAUAAUGACGGUACUUGAGGAGGAAGCCCCGGCUAACUACGUGCCAGCCGCCGCGGUAAUAC